GUGUGUGUGCUUGUUUGUUGUAAAUAGUCUCAGGGGAUGGCUAGCAAUGAGCCAGGGUAACCUAGAGCGAGCUGAACACACAUUGAAAUAUUUUUUAUUCAUCAGAAAGGGAGUUAAAUGUCCCUCUGCAUGAAAACUUUUCGUUGUAUUAGUGAGGCUUCAAAUUAACCUCAUCUUCUCUAGGAUAAGGAUGUUGAAUUGAGGGAAUUAGAGACAAGAUAAUUAAGUCUGAAUGGGGGAGGCCAUGGACAAAUAGAUCUGAGACAUGAGGUCAUUGCCAGAAGAGGGAAACAAAUGUAGUCAUGGGAAAUGAGAUAUAAACACAUGGAAGAGAAUUCCUGAAAGGUAUGUGGAAAGCCACUAAUUCUAGAUCUUUUAUUUUCUUUUAAUAUUUUAUUGCAUAAAUUACACUUACACUUACCUUUCCCUGGUAAGUUUAAGGCAAAAAAAAACUAUGUUCCUAUCAAAGAUCUCUUCAGGCUAAGAGACCCUGCCCAAUGGGAGUGUGGUCACUAGACUAUGGUCACCUCCACUUCCUUGGAGUGUUUGUCUUUGCCUUUCACCGUUCUCCUAACUUCAUAUAUGCUCUCUUUAUUUUCUAUUCUAUAUUUUUAAUGUAAGAACUCAAAGUCAAUAAUAAGAGCAGACUUUUACAUGGUGUUUUAAGACUUUGCAUAUGUUGUUUCAUCUGCUGCGUACAACAAUGGUGUGAAGUAGGUGCUGUUAUCCCUAUUUUACAGAAAAUAGACCGAGAGAGGUUAUGACUUCUCCAGAAGUGCAACGCUUGGGAUCACAGUGGCUAAGCUAGGCUUUGGGCUCCCUUAGGCCUGAUUCCAACCUGACCCCUGUAUCCAUGAUGACAUCUAGUGGCCUUAACAGGAAUCCUUCAAUGAGAAGAGAAAGGGGCAGGGGGAACAAGAAGCCCCAAGAUGAUCUUCAGAAUCUCCCUAAGACAAUUCAGAUGCAAGUGUUUCAGUUUCCUGGCAUGACACUGGUUAACUGUGAAGGUUUCAGAGGUACACAAGGAUGAAGUCAGCACAAUAGCUGUUGACCAUGAUUUUGGUCUUAUUUUCUAUAUUUUCUUUGGAACCUUCCCCACACCGCACUAGCUCUGGCAUGUGAAUCAACCUCAUCAUCUGGGUGUACAUCCCUGGGAAGUAUACUGCUAAAAGUCAUCAAAGUCCAAUGAAAAAAUGAAAUCAAGGCAAUUGACCAUGGUUUGGGAAACAGCUGGUGACCUUGGAAUCUUUGAUGUCUAACUAGGCUCUGAACACAUCACAAUGCUUGUUUCUGCCACUUUCAUGGCCAUUGGAACAACUUGUUCUUAUUUAGCCAUUCUACCAGGGGAAUACACCUUUUAACUCACUGAAAGGUUUGAGACCCCUCAGUUACCUUCAAACAUGGUUUAGUUCAUCUGGCCAGAUAAUUUUAUUGGGCUGGGGCAACCUCAACUUCUUGGAGCCACAAUUAGGUGAACCCCAAAGAUAGAAAGCAGCCUUGAAAAGAACUGAGUAGCCCUCACAACAGAGGUAUAGUCUUAGCUAAAUAUAACUUAUACCCCUUAUUCAAUGUAAACUCUCUCCUAAGCUCCAAACUUAUAUGUCCAAUUGCCUAAUGGGCCAACCUUGAAUUGGAUGUCCUAUAGAAAUUUUAAACUCACAAUAUCCAAAAUUAAACUCAUUAUCUUUUCUUCCCAAAUCCUCACUCUUUCCUUACCUGUUGUUGUUGUUAUUGUUUCAUCAUUUCAGUCAUGUCUGAUUUUUUGUGACCUCAUUUGGGGUUUUCAUGGCAAAGACACUGACAUUUCUUUCUCCAGCUCAUUUUACAGAUGAAGAAAAGGAAGCAAACAGUUAAGUGACUAGCUUGGUGUCACAUAGCUAGUAAGAGUCUGAGGUCAGAUUUGAACUUAGAAAGAUGCAUAUUCCUGAUUCCAGGUUUAUCACUCUAUCCACUGUGCCACUCUGCCCUGUAAAUUAUUUUGCCAAAUAGAGGACCACACUAGCUACUUCUUUCUCUUCAAUAACAAUUAUCUCGAAGGAUAUAAACAGACAAUUUUCAGAUGAUGAAAUUGAAACUAUUUCUAGCCAUAUGAAAAGAUGCUCCAAGUCAUUAUUGAUCAGAGAAAUUCAAAUUAAGACAACUCUGAGAUACCACUACACACUUGUCAGACUGGCUGACAGGAAAAAAAUAAUGAUGAAUGUUGGAGGGGAUGCAGGAAAACUGGGACAGUGAUGCAUUAUUGGUGGAGUUGUGCAUGAAUCCAACCAUUCUGGAGAGCAAUCUGGAAUUACGCCCAAAAAAUUAUCAAACUGUGCAUAUCCUUUGAUCCAGCAGUGCUACUACUGAGCUUAUACCCCAAAAAGAUACUAAAGAAGGGAAAGGGACCUGUAUGUGCCAAAAUGUUUGUGGCAGCCUUGUUUGUAGUGGCUAGAAGUGGGAAAAUGAAUAGAUACCCAUCACUGGAGAACGGUUGGUAAAUUGUGGUAUAUGAAUGUUAUGGAAUAUUAUUGUUCUAUAAGAAAUGACCAGCAGGAUGAAUAUGGAGAGGCUUGGAGAGACUUACAUGAACUGUUGCUGAGUGAAAUGAGCAGAACCAGGAGAUUAUUAUAUAUACUUCAACAACAACACUGUACGAGGAUGUAUUCUGUUGGAAGUGGAUUUCUUCGAUAAAAAGAAGAUCUAACUCAGUUUCAAUUGAUCAAUGAUGGACAGAAGCAGCUACACCCAAAGAAAGAACACUGAGAAAUGGAUGCAAACUGUUUGCAUUUUUGUUUUUCUUCCUGGAUUAUUUUUACCUUUUGAAUCCAAUUCUUCCUGUAACAAGAGAACUGUUUGGUACUGCACACAUAUAUUGUAUCUAGGAUAUACUGUGACAUAUUUAACAUGUAUAGAACUGCUUGCCCUCUGGGGGAGAGGGUGGAAGAAGGGAGGGGAAAAGUUGGAACAGAAGUGAGUACAGGAGAUAAUAUUGUAAAAAAAAUUACCCAGGUAUGGAUUCUGUUAAUAAAAAGUUAUAAUUAUUUAAAAAAAAAAACAAUUAUCAAAUGAGAUCAUGUCUGGGACAUAUGUUGUUCAGUCAGUCUGACUCUUCAAGACCCCAUUUGGAGUUUUCUACAGAAGAGGUUUGCUAUUUCCUUCUCCAGCUCAUUUUACAGAUAAGGAAUAAAUUAAGGUUAACAGGGUUAAGUGACUUGCCCAGGGUCACACAGCUAGUAAGUGUCUGAGGCCAGAUUUGAAGUCAGGUCUUCCUGACUCCAAGGUUGGUGUUCUAUCUAUUGUUCCAUCUAGCUUCCCCACUUCUGGCAUUUUACUGGAAUUUUCUACUUCCUUGUCUCCAACUUUGGCUUCUCUGGUUUCUUUCAUAUCCCAGCUAAAAGCCCACCAUCUGUAAAAAUAUUUCCUGAUUCCUUUAAUGCUAAUAUUUCCUCUCUGUUGAUUAUCUCCAAUUUAUUAUGUCUACUUAUUCGUAUUUUUCAUGCUGUCUCCCCCGUUAAAUUGUGAGCUUCUUGGGAGCAGGGACCAUCUUUUUGUCUCUCCUAGCAGAAUGGCUGGCACAUAAUAAAAGUUUAACAAUUACUUGCUAACUUGACUCAAUAAUAACAAAAUAUUUAUAGAACACUUUCCUUGAAAAACAACUUUGUCAGAUAGGUAGUAUGCAUAUCAUUAAAUGAAGCCUAGUGAUUUAAAGCAAGAAGAGACCUUAGGGUUCAUCUAUUCCAACCUAUUCAUUUUAUAGACUAUGGUAGUAAGUCCCAGAGUGAUAAAGUCAUGUGUGUCUGGUUCCAGGGAAAGUGGGAUUCAAAUCUAUUAUAUGAAGGUUAGCUGAGAUGAGCUAUGCAAAGUCAACCAGUAGUUUUCUGAUGUCAAAACACAUCACCUGUUACGUAUUCCAGAGGCCAAUAAAGAGAGACAGAGUUCAGAAGAACUUAUUUCUUAAAAUGUAUUCUAAGUUUUAAUUUCCCUCUAGUCCAUGGGCUCCACAAACAGUCAAAGAAUCCAUGGAUUAAUGGAAAGAUUUUAGGGAGUUCAUGAACUUUUUAAAAAGUAUUUUGAAUACCAUAUUUUGAUAUAUAAGGUUUUCUUUGUAAUCCUCUGUGUCUUGUUAAAAGUUCCAGAAACACAAUUUCUGGAUAGCCAUUUUAUUAAUAAUCCCAACAUUUUAAUAAAAUAGGUCAUUAGCAUUCAUAUAGACAAAAAACCAUCAUGAUGGUGAGCUCAAGGCUUAGGUGGGGGUUGGAGAAGUGGUUGUUCCAGAGGGUGACAAUCAACUCUCAUAAUUAAUAAGUAAUGAGAUAAAAUGAAUAUUACAGUGAAGGGCAGGACCUAUUCCAGUGAACUUUGGUAAUGUUAUUUAUUUCUAAGUUAUUCAAACUUGGGCAAUCUGUUCAAAUAAUUUAUCCCUACUCAAAUCUAAGCAGAAAACAAUGGAAUUCCCUACCUGGUAGAAUCUGAACAAGAUUUUUUAAGAAGUCUAUUCCAAUCUCAUUAUCAGCAAUUCCUUCUAAAACUGAACUUUUGAUAUGGGGACUUUAAAAAGGGAGGGGAAGAUAGUAGGGACGCUAAAUCUCCCCAAAUCAUUAGUUACUAACAAUCACUUCUCUCACUUUGCAUUUUGUUUUUCACUUGAAAACAGUGUUAUAAGAGGGAAUUCAGACUCAUCAGAUGACCAAAGGGUUCCAUGACACACAAAAAGAGUAAAUUCCAGUUCCAUUGCAAUCUGCUUACCUGCUUGCAAUAGACCAGUGAAUUAAGAAUUCAGAACAAGGAAAUAUUUUUUUUGGUGAUAGAAUUUUCUUCUUUUUAUUUUUGUUUUGAUUCUGAACUAAACUGAUACCAAAUAAGAAGAGCAUGACUGUAUACAAAAUUGAAUAGCAGGAGAAUUAUACAUGAUGGUGUAAAUAUGUGUGAUGAACAGCUUGCUUUUAUUUUUAAUAACAUCAUAAACUCAGUAUGUUAUUUUUGUAUCUGUCCUGUGUGUUUGUUUCUUAAAGACUUUCAUUUUGUUCUCUUCUAUGUAUUUUGUAAUUUCUCCAAAGAUCAUAGUUUCUUAAUUUUUUUUUCCAUUUUGGUAAUCCCAUUGCUGUUCCCAUUCUUUUCUACCAAUAUGGUCAUGACUAUAUAUGUUCUUGGUUAUAGCUUGUCCUUGAGUUGGAAUCUCUUUGGAAUCUUUGUGGAAGGAUAACCUAAUUCUACUGAGUAAACUACUUUUUUUUUUAUUUUACAAAGUAAAAAAUGAUAGCUUGAGGUUCAUAUGUUUUUGUUAUUUCAAAUUGUGUUUCUAUUAAUACCUUCUGGUUUCGCAUCAUUAUUUCCAAAUAAAUUCUUCUCCCCCUUCUUA
This is a long non-coding RNA of Antechinus flavipes (yellow-footed antechinus), 5338 nucleotides long. RefSeq lists it as uncharacterized. The record is from RefSeq and is a predicted model, not a curated record. NCBI's taxonomy places the organism in Eukaryota, Metazoa, Chordata, Mammalia, Dasyuromorphia, Dasyuridae. The transcript has 3 exons.